GGAAUGGAGCGUCAUAGAGGGUGAGAAUCCCGUCUUUGGCACGGACUCCCAGGGCUUCUGUGAUGCGCUCUCGACGAGUCGAGUUGUUUGGGAAUGCAGCUCAAAAUGGGUGGUGAACUCCAUCUAAAGCUAAAUACUGGCGAGAGACCGAUAGCGAACAAGUACCGUGAGGGAAAGAUGAAAAGCACUUUGGAAAGAGAGUGAAACAGUACGUGAAAUUGUUGAAAGGGAAACGCUUGAAGUCAGUCGCGUCGACCGAGACUCAGCCUUGCCUCGGCUUGGUGUACUUCUCGGCUGACGGGUCAGCAUCAAUUUCGAUCCUUGGAUAAUGGCAAGGGAAAGGUGGCACCUUCUUAGGUGUGUUAUAGUCCUCUGUCGCAUGCGAGGGUCGGGAUUGAGGAACUCAGCAUGCACCUUCGGGUGUCGGGGCAUCUGCCCACGUUUACGUGCUUAGGAUGCUGGCGUAAUGGCUUUAAACGACCCGUCUUGAAACACGGACCAAGGAGUCUAACAUACCCGCGAGUGUUCGGGUGGAAAACCCGUGCGCGCAAUGAAAGUAAAAGUUGGGACCUCUGUCGUGGAGGGCACCGACGCCCGGACCAGACCUUCUGUGACGGCUCUGCGGUAGAGCGUGUAUGUUGGGACCCGAAAGAUGGUGAACUAUGCCUGAA
RNAcentral lists this ribosomal RNA (671 nucleotides) under Russula littoralis. RNAcentral's name for it is "partial large subunit ribosomal RNA". It matches the Rfam family "Eukaryotic large subunit ribosomal RNA", at positions 192 to 841 of the family's 3401-position model. Lineage: Eukaryota; Fungi; Basidiomycota; Agaricomycetes; Russulales; Russulaceae. The record is from RNAcentral.